AAAGUCGUAACAAGGUUUCCGUAGGUGAACCUGCGGAAGGAUCAUUAUCGAGUUAGGGUCGUUCUGGCCCGAACUUCCAACCCCUUGUUUAUCACACCAUGUUGCUUUGGUGGGCCCGCCCUCCUUGGGGGGCCGCCGGAGGUUAUCUUACCCCUGGUCCGCGUCUGCCAGUAGCCUUAUUAAAUUCUUUUUAACUGUGUCGUCUGAGUGGCUUUAAAUCGUUUUAAAAACUUUCAACAACGGAUCUCUUGGUUCUG
Molecule: unclassified non-coding RNA, 257 nt
Filed under: Ascomycota sp.
Lineage: Eukaryota; Fungi; Ascomycota
Description: partial contains small subunit ribosomal RNA, internal transcribed spacer 1, and 5.8S ribosomal RNA
Rfam family: Eukaryotic small subunit ribosomal RNA (bases 1-47)
Source: RNAcentral